AAAAAAAGAAAAGUGCACUAUAUAGGCAAGGGUGCAUAUGAUUUGGAACAGGCCUAAUCAUCAAUGCAUGAUGGGAAAAUUUAGGAAAGAUAAGUGAUACAUCCGCAUACAUGUGGCACAAGUUGUUACGUCGAACCGCGCGCGCUGAGUGACACUAAUUAAGUGUAUCACCUGUCCUGGCGUAAUUCUUUGGCACUCCUCUUUACGCACUGCGUUUUGGUUGUUGUUUCUUUCUUUCUUUUUUCUUUCUUAGACGUGGCGUCUGAUCUUUUUUUUUUUUGGUCGCGGUUAGAUUAUGAAAUCACGACAGUUCAGUCUGAAAUCCGACACUUUUUUAGGGAACACUUUUAAUUUCAGUACCUGGCAACGCUGUAGGGGCGGAAACUUCAUAACAGCGCCGAAAUACGCGACUCCAAGAAUACGCGCAACUAAAACCAACCCGAGCUGAACUCUCCGGCAGACCGAACAGAGCCCACAAACCCAAACCCAGGGAGAGUUUCCAUUACAAAAAGAAGAAAAAUGUAGUCUCCAUGCAUGGAUUGUAACUGUCCGAGUUGAGAGGACUUCAGCACGAAUCAUUCAGGCGUGUGAACAUGGACCAAAAAUGACAAAUGCUGCUGUGUACGAUAAUGAAAGCAAGCCAUACUGAGAUCAUCUCUAGAGCAUCUUCUUGGCACUUCUGUUUUGGUGUUUCUCCUCCUACCUCUCGUCUUCUCCUGCAAAAGCACCAAGAGUAAAGAGGAGAUCUCUCAGGAUUAUGAGUAUAUCAUUCAGAAGCAGCUGGAGCACAUUAACUUGAGUAUUCAGAGACAGGUGGAGUCCUGCGGGGAACGAAAGCUCGUGCUGCAGAAUUUAUUCCCGAUCGAGCGCAUCAGCACCGUGUCCUGCACCCGUUUACCGAGGAACAUAAGUGGUCAGCUGCACACUGAAUUACGGAACCUCGUGAGGGACAUAACGGUAUCGCUGGGAUGUCCCUGUUCUGCAAACCAGACCGAGCAGGCAGAGAGGUGGCCGGACUCCCAGCCUUUACAGAAGAAGUUUUGCCGACUGAAACGUUUGCUCAUGACGAUACAGAAAGCGUACGAACAAUACAACUCGGCUUAGUAAGUGUGGGCCACCGUGAGCGCCGAUUGAAAGAUGUUCUAAAUCUGAAAUAAUAAUAAUAAAAACAAUAGUAAUAAUAAAUAAAAUAUCGAAGCAUGGCUUCCUUACAAAGCUUUGCAUGGCACCUUGUAUAUGAGAGGACAUACACUCAUAACGAAGUGGCGAGUGAAACACGCCCGCUGCUUGGAGAGCAAAAAUCAGCCGGAUGCAGGAUCCAUCAUGAAUCGUACAACCAGCAGACAUGUCUCACGGACCAGUCGCCGUG
This is a long non-coding RNA of Ictalurus punctatus (channel catfish), 1369 nucleotides long. The record is from Ensembl. NCBI's taxonomy places the organism in Eukaryota, Metazoa, Chordata, Actinopteri, Siluriformes, Ictaluridae.